GAACCCGUGGCUCAAUGGUAGAGCGUUCGACUCAAAUACCAAGGGUCGCGGGUUCG
This is a non-coding RNA of Schistocephalus solidus, 56 nucleotides long. The record is from Rfam. NCBI's taxonomy places the organism in Eukaryota, Metazoa, Platyhelminthes, Cestoda, Diphyllobothriidea, Diphyllobothriidae.